GAUGAACGCUGGCGGCGUGCCUAAUACAUGCAAGUCGAGCGAACGGACGAGAAGCUUGCUUCUCUGAUGUUAGCGGCGGACGGGUGAGUACCACGUGGAUAACCUACCUAUAAGACUGGGAUAACUUCGGGAAACCGGAGCUAAUACCGGCUGAUAUUUUGAACCGCAUGGUUCAAAAGUGAAAGACGGUUUUGCUGUCCCUUAUAGAUGGAUCCGCGCUGCAUUAGCUAGUUGGUAGGGUAACGGCUUACCAAGGCAACGAUGCAUAGCCGACCUGAGAGGGUGAUCGGCCACACUGGAACUGAGACACGGUCCAGACUCCUACGGGAGGCAGCAGUAGGGAAUCUUCCGCAAUGGGCGAAAGCCUGACGGAGCAACGCCGCGUGAGUGAUGAAGGUCUUCGGAUCGUAAAACGCUGUUAUUAGGGAAGAACAUAUGUGUAAGUAACUGUGCACAUCUUGACGGUACCUAAUCAGAAAGCCACGGCUAACUACGUG
RNAcentral lists this ribosomal RNA (497 nucleotides) under uncultured bacterium. RNAcentral describes it as "partial 16S ribosomal RNA". It matches the Rfam family "Bacterial small subunit ribosomal RNA", at positions 28 to 507 of the family's 1533-position model. The record is from RNAcentral.